UGCAAUCUUAGUCAGCAGCUUCUAGGGCCUACUCCUAAUUCUCUCACACACAUUAAAUAGACACCGAGUUAAGGAAAGUUUUACAUUUACUGUGGAACACAUGAGGAGGACAAACAUAUAUCCAAGAUUUUUUCCUGCUUUAAACACCAGUGCCACUCCAGAGGAUAUGGAGCCUGGUGAUCUGAGGUGGGAUUUCUAAUGCAUCCACGCAGAUGAUGGAAAAGUUUGUAUCCUAUAUUUGGAAGGUAUGAUCUUGAUUUUGGGGGACGCAUCCUGCAGAAUGGGCUGAUCUGACUGCCCUGGUCUCCUCGGAGCUUGCACAUCAACCCAACGAACAUGUACACAAUGAUCUUAACUGAAGAACAGAGAAAAAGCAUUAUUUAGCCUGUUGAUGUCUGCCUGUUUAUCUGUUAGUCUAUUUGUGUGAAUAUGUAUCUAUCCAUGUAUCUAUCUGUAUCUAUUUACCUACUGUAAAAGAACUAGAACAGAUAUUAUUCUAAAACAUCUACCAGAUACAUUCCCCUACCCUAGACUGGGAAAUACAACCAGGUGGGUCACAUUUGUGUUUGAGGAUCCAUUUAUAAAACAUCUAGAUGCUUGUUAUCAAAAGUUUUGAUGAUUAUCAACAAGGAUAAUACAAUAACAUUUUAAUAACACAUUAUUAAUAUAGAGUUUCAUGUCAUUUUAUAAAGUGUUAGGGUUUGCAAUAAUUCCAUCCUCCUUAGCACAUUUUGCACUGUUUGCUGUUCAGCACCAAAAAGGGAUUUAGUUGCCAUUUUUAUUUCAGAAAGAGUGUUAUUCCAUCCAUCAUCAUCAACCGCUUACUCCUUUACAGGGUCGCGUUGAGCUGGAGCCUAACCCGGCAUACACAGGGCGCAAGGCGAGACUACACACUGGACGGGACGCCAGUCCAUCGCAGGGCACCACACACACACAGAGGGCAAUUUAGAGUGACCAGUCAACCUGGACAGCAUGUCUUUGGACUGUGGGAGGAAACCGGAGUACCCGGAGAAAACCCCCGCGAACACAGGGAGAACAUGCAAACUCCACACAAACAGUACCCUAGGCCAGAUUUGAACCUAGGACCCUGGCGCUGUGAGGCAGCAGCUCUAACCACUACGCCACCAUGCUGCCCAAGAGUGUUAUUGCGCUUUGAAAUUGUUCUUAUGGACCAUAUGGUAUUGGAAUGUUAGCAACCAAUCAGAAUGUUUUAGAUUUUAAGAGGCUCUCCUAUAAAAAGUAUCUUCCCACUUAAGAUACUAUUAUAUAAUGUCACCAACAUUAACUUUGUUAAUCUGCCGUUCCACUAUCACCCAACAGAUGGCAGUAUACGCGACCAGGCAUUUUUUUAAUUAAAAAGUUUAGAUGAUGUAAAAAAAAACCCAAAAAAAAAAACAAAAAAACAGAUUGUUAACAUAUUGAGAAUUGUAACUAAUACAGCACUUCAUUAAGUCAUAUACCUUUACGACCAAAUCUGCAUGCCCGUUAAGCAAACCAAUACCCAUUACUGCCUGUUAAGCAAACCGAUAUCUGAACUUCAGCAGGGAUUUUGUGUUUGUGGCGUUUAUUAUUUCAGUUUAGAAGCUGCUAGUCUGUCAUUGAGUUUAUAAUACAUGCCUUUAGAUCCUGCCUGAACAAUACAUGCAUGUUGUUCAUGUUGAUGAACAGUAGAAUGUCUGUUAAAAACCUAUAUAAAAACACAUACGAUUUCGUUACAAGACGCUGACAUAUUCUUAUAUUUGUUUUAACUGUGAAAUGAACGUGUAGGUGCAGUCCCUUGAAGUAUCCGUGUCAUUGCCGUGCACAGAUAUAAGACAUGACCCACUUAAAUAGGCUAUUGAAGGGACUGAUAUAAACAUUUAGCAUUUCUUGAAAAUACAAAUACUUAUGGUUUCAGGAUUCUCAAUACAUUAUUUCAGCUGAUCUGCAACAUCGCCUGUUAAUCAAUAGGAGCAGAAUACUCCAAAAGGAGGGCUUUGUUAAUUUCUUGUCAUUCUUACAUUUUUUAAAAAAUAUUAAAAGGUCAUUAAAUGCGAUGCGUGUGAAAAAGAGUAGGCUAACCAGAUAAUCUCGUUUAAAUGAAAACAGCUUUCAUGUUGCUUGUGCCAAAAUGGCAUCCGACCAUGUUUGAUGUGUAAGCAACAUUCUCCAAGCCCAAGUGUUAUGUGUAUUUGUAUUGCUAUAUGCCCUGAAGCAUAUCUGGGCGAUUAUAAUAUAUGUGACGUUAUUAGUGCUUAUAAUUCAACGUGGAACAAAUAUGUUUCAUCUUAAUAAUAGUUUAUUUAUUUGCAUUUCCUUCGAAUUGUUCCUUCGUCCAGACCAUCAAAUGAGCUACAUUAAUGGAUGUUGGGCUCGGGACAACAUUAGUCUCAACAAAAACAAAAACAAUGUCUUUAAAAAUGUUUUCGCAAGUGCAAUGGUGCAGGAUUUCAUUGUCCUCCCCGAGGAUGAGCGCUCAAAUUAUUGCAUACAGGUUUGCGCGCUGUGUAUUGAUUAGAUGAAUCAUCACUCGGAACACUAAGGAUUUUGAGUUUUCACAACACAUUGAAAACUAUUUAUAUUAGAGUUAUUCUUUAAAAAUAAAAAUAGCCCUAGAAAUAAAAACAACCCAACUUCAGUAUCAACUCACGUGAGUGGCGCGUUAUUUUAUUUAGUUAGUCGUGUUGGAAUUCACAUAUUCUUUAUAACAGCACAUGAAUAAAUGAUUAACCUGUAUUAAAUUAUUUUUUUAUUUGUUUGUUUUAUUAUUUACCUUUACGCGAUUAAGGGGAAGGCGACAGGCACAUCAAUACGGUGUUAACAUUUUGGUAUAGAAAAGGAAUCAGCAAUAAUUUAUUUUUUGCGCAAUAAUUGUUUAUUAAAAGUUACUUUGGAAAAAAAUAAUACCAUUUUGAUAUUAUUUUCUUUUUUGUUUUUAAUCUGAAGUGCGUUAUGUUAAUAUGGGCGAUGUUUUAACAACAAAAGAGCAUAUGCGCCAUCGUGUACUGUAAACAUGAGUAGAAACAAAAUCAUCAACAAAAUUGGCGCUAGAUAUUUUUAGUAUGCAGUGUUUAAAAUGUACAGCAUUUUACCAAAAAACAAACUAUUAUGAAAAGAAAAAUAGAAAAAAUGCAGAGAAAAAAUAAUAAAUAUGUUUUAGCUCUGUCCAGUUUAAUAUUAUUUAUUGUUGUUAGCAUUUUGGUCUCAACGUGCCGUGUUCUUAGUAAAUACAUUCAUGUGGGAGGAAAAUUCACAGAAUUGUUUCCUAACCGAGGGUUUCAUGUGUCGCUUUAAUUUCACCACAGUGCUGACAUAUUCAUAACAAAUACCAAGGGUUUAAUCUUCAGAUAUACGCACGAUUUUAUCUGCGGUUUAAAAAAACAAACAGAGACAACUAUCCUAUACUUUAUAUUUGUGAGUUACAUGGUUUUACAUUAUUGUAGACUAUAGUUUAUACGCUGCGGUAUCUUCUAUUUUAGACUAACCAAUCAAACAGUGAGAAAUGGCAACAGAUUGUGUGCGCGUGUGUGUGCGCGCGCCUUUUUUGAAAGCUCCCAAAAACACAACUUGUUAUGGAGGUAAAUAAAAAGUAAAUAACAGAUUCGUGAAUGUGAAAUGUAAUUACUUUGAAACACUUUGUGAUGUGCAAGUUAAAUGAAACAAACCAAAAAUGCAACUUCACGCCCACUGGUUUCGAUUUAGUAUGUGUGAACAAAAACGAUUUACAGUUUACUUGCAGUUGCAGAUACAGUUACUGGGUUUAAACAAGGUCAGCUAGAGCCUGUUAUAGCCAUCAGCAUAACUAACUUCAUCGUUGAGACGUGCUUAUACUUUUCUAGUUUUCAGUUCUCUUUGUUGAAAAAAUAUUCUUUCGAAAAAUACCAUUUGUGAUAAUAUUGGCCAUACUGUAAAAGUCUUUACUCUGGUUUGUAUUAACUGUUUUUCAAAAGGACAAAAUUCAUGCCUUAACGUUAUAAAAUGAGAAACGACUUGUGAUCUCGAGACUUUGAAUUGUAUUACUCAUUUGUUUAGUUCUGUAAAAUGAACCGGAGUUUUUUUGUUUGUUUUUUACUCCUUCCAAAAAAUAUAACCUGUUGCUCAGUUACCAAAUUGUAAAGUGCCUUUUUGGUCCACAGUGGUAGGUCUAAACCAUCUAUUUAAAUAAAAACACUUGCUGCGUCAAAGUGGUCGUUCAAAAGGUCAUUACAAAAUAUAUUUUAUUUUCCCAUUUUGGAGAACCUCAAUGAUCUAAAUCAUAGAACACCCUUUUUGACGAUUAUGUAAUGAAAUCAAUAACUAUUAAAAGAAAAAAAAAACGAAAACAAAAACAUAAAUAUGUAAUGUAAUUUAAUGUGUUAACAAAUUGAAAGUUAAAUAAACUUUAUACAGCCUACAUAAUAUACACUGGGUACCCAAGAAGGCUUCGGCAAACAUGUACGGUUUAGAAACCACAUACCUCCAACAACCGCUGCAGUGUCUAUCUGCAUAUGCUAAUGUGUGAAACCCCAUGAGUUUAAUGCGUUGAACGCUGCAACUCUGCACAACACGACGAAAAACUUACUGACAAAAUUAGCCUACGCUAAAAUAAUUGGUUUAAAUGCAAUAUGCAGUUUAUUAACGAACUUAUUAAACCAGUUUUAGGUUUUAUAACGGUGGCGUAUUGCAAUGGUUUUCAAUG
Molecule: long non-coding RNA, 4657 nt
Organism: Acipenser ruthenus (sterlet)
Lineage: Eukaryota; Metazoa; Chordata; Actinopteri; Acipenseriformes; Acipenseridae
Exons: 3
Source: RefSeq, a predicted model, not a curated record